This 346-nucleotide long non-coding RNA is filed under the name Erythranthe guttata (spotted monkey flower). RNAcentral describes it as "long non-coding RNA (EGUT_LNC000009)". The record is from RNAcentral. Lineage: Eukaryota; Viridiplantae; Streptophyta; Magnoliopsida; Lamiales; Phrymaceae.
ACCGUCGGAUUGUGCUGACUCGAUCAACCAUAUAUCAUAUAUAAACCCAUCCUCCGAACUAUAAGGAAUGACCCAAUGCUCCGCCAUUGGUAUCUGACUAAACUCGAUAGUAUUCCCCACAAUAUGAAUUGCAACAAAUUUGUCGGGAUCCAUGUAGCCGUAAAUCUGACCUUGAAAAGAACCAAUUGCAAAAAGAUGUUCAUAACCAAGACAUCCAUUUUCUUGUUCUUCUUCGUAUUGUUGUUCUUCUGUACGUGUUACAUAUUCUUUGUCUCCAAUCCGGCAAAAGGAUUGUUCCAAGCCACUGAAAAAAACAUAACAAUCUGGUUCGGUGGGAGGUUUGGUC